Molecule: ribosomal RNA, 449 nt
Filed under: uncultured bacterium
Lineage: Bacteria
Description: partial 16S ribosomal RNA
Rfam family: Bacterial small subunit ribosomal RNA
Source: RNAcentral
AACGAACGCUGGCGGCAUGCCUAACACAUGCAAGUCGAACGAGAUCUUCGGGUCUAGUGGCGCACGGGUGCGUAACACGUGGGAAUCUGCCCUUUGGUUCGGAAUAACAGUUGGAAACGACUGCUAAUACCGGAUGAUGACGAAAGUCCAAAGAUUUAUCGCCAGAGGAUGAGCCCGCGUAGGAUUAGCUAGGUGGUGUGGUAAAGGCGCACCAAGGCGACGAUCCUUAGCUGGUCUGAGAGGAUGAUCAGCCACACUGGGACUGAGACACGGCCCAGACUCCUACGGGAGGCAGCAGUGGGGAAUAUUGGACAAUGGGCGCAAGCCUGAUCCAGCAAUGCCGCGUGAGUGAUGAAGGCCUUGGGGUUGUAAAGGUCUUUUACCCGGGAUGAUAAUGACAGUACCGGGGGAAUAAGCUCCGGCUAACUCCGUGCCAGCCGCCGCCGUAA